This 224-nucleotide unclassified non-coding RNA is filed under the name plant metagenome. RNAcentral's name for it is "partial contains small subunit ribosomal RNA, internal transcribed spacer 1, and 5.8S ribosomal RNA". The record is from RNAcentral.
UCUCCGUUGGUGAACCAGCGGAGGGAUCAUUACAGGACUCGCAAGACUCCUUCACCCUGUGAACCUCACUACAAGCACGUUGCUUCGGCGGGUGUCCCGGCGGGGGUUUUCCCUCACCGGGGCGCACAGCCCGCCGGCAGCCUACUAUACUCUGUCUCUUUGCGUUGGCAUCUCGAGAAAAAACAAACAAGUUAAAACUUUCAACAACGGAUCUCUUGGUUCUG